GUGGCGAACGGGUGAGUAACACGUGAGCAACCUGCCCCUGACUCUGGGAUAAGCGCUGGAAACGGCGUCUAAUACUGGAUAUGUCCCAUCACCGCAUGGUGUGUGGGUGGAAAGAUUUUUCGGUUGGGGAUGGGCUCGCGGCCUAUCAGCUUGUUGGUGAGGUAAUGGCUCACCAAGGCGUCGACGGGUAGCCGGCCUGAGAGGGUGACCGGCCACACUGGGACUGAGACACGGCCCAGACUCCUACGGGAGGCAGCAGUGGGGAAUAUUGCACAAUGGGCGCAAGCCUGAUGCAGCAACGCCGCGUGAGGGACGACGGCCUUCGGGUUGUAAACCUCUUUUAGCAGGGAAGAAGCGAGAGUGACGGUACCUGCAGAAAAAGCACCGGCUAACUACGUGCCAGCAGCCGCGGUAAUACGUAGGGUGCAAGCGUUAUCCGGAAUUAUUGGGCGUAAAGAGCUCGUAGGCGGUUUGUCGCGUCUGCUGUGAAAUUCCGAGGCUCAACCUCGGGCUUGCAGUGGGUACGGGCAGACUAGAGUGCGGUAGGGGAGAUUGGAAUUCCUGGUGUAGCGGUGGAAUGCGCAGAUAUCAGGAGGAACACCGAUGGCGAAGGCAGAUCUCUGGGCCGUAACUGACGCUGAGGAGCGAAAGGGUGGGGAGCAAACAGGCUUAGAUACCCUGGUAGUCCACCCCGUAAACGUUGGGAACUAGUUGUGGGGUCCUUUCCACGGAUUCCGUGACGCAGCUAACGCAUUAAGUUCCCCGCCUGGGGAGUACGGCCGCAAGGCUAAAACUCAAAGGAAUUGACGGGGACCCGCACAAGCGGCGGAGCAUGCGGAUUAAUUCGAUGCAACGCGAAGAACCUUACCAAGGCUUGACAUACACGAGAACGGGCCAGAAAUGGUCAACUCUUUGGACACUCGUGAACAGGUGGUGCAUGGUUGUCGUCAGCUCGUGUCGUGAGAUGUUGGGUUAAGUCCCGCAACGAGCGCAACCCUCGUUCUAUGUUGCCAGCACGUAAUGGUGGGAACUCAUGGGAUACUGCCGGGGUCAACUCGGAGGAAGGUGGGGAUGACGUCAAAUCAUCAUGCCCCUUAUGUCUUGGGCUUCACGCAUGCUACAAUGGCCGGUACAAUGGGCUGCGAUACCGUAAGGUGGAGCGAAUCCCAAAAAGCCGGUCCCAGUUCGGAUUGAGGUCUGCAACUCGACCUCAUGAAGUCGGAGUCGCUAGUAAUCGCAGAUCAGCAACGCUGCGGUGAAUACGUUCCCGGGUCUUGUACACACCGCCCGUCAAGUCAUGAAAGUCGG
This 1308-nucleotide ribosomal RNA is filed under the name Microbacterium sp. RNAcentral describes it as "bacterial SSU rRNA". It matches the Rfam family "Bacterial small subunit ribosomal RNA", at positions 95 to 1414 of the family's 1533-position model. Lineage: Bacteria; Bacillati; Actinomycetota; Actinomycetes; Micrococcales; Microbacteriaceae. The record is from RNAcentral.